GACGAACGCUGGCGGCGUGCUUAACACAUGCAAGUCGAACGGAAAGGCCCUGCUUUUGUGGGGUGCUCGAGUGGCGAACGGGUGAGUAACACGUGAGUAACCUGCCCUUGACUUUGGGAUAACUUCAGGAAACUGGGGCUAAUACCGGAUAGGAGCUCCUGCUGCAUGGUGGGGGUUGGAAAGUUUCGGCGGUUGGGGAUGGACUCUCGGCUUAUCAGCUUGUUGGUGGGGUAGUGGCUUACCAAGGCUUUGACGGGUAGCCGGCCUGGGAGGGUGACCGGCCACAUUGGGACUGAGAUACGGCCCAGACUCCUACGGGAGGCAGCAGUGGGGAAUAUUGCACAAUGGGCGGAAGCCUGAUGCAGCAACGCCGCGUGCGGGAUGACGGCCUUCGGGUUGUAAACCGCUUUCGCCUGUGACGAAGCGUGAGUGACGGUAAUGGGUAAAGAAGCACCGGCUAACUACGUG
RNAcentral lists this ribosomal RNA (468 nucleotides) under uncultured bacterium. RNAcentral's name for it is "partial 16S ribosomal RNA". It matches the Rfam family "Bacterial small subunit ribosomal RNA", at positions 28 to 507 of the family's 1533-position model. The record is from RNAcentral.